This 73-nucleotide transfer RNA is filed under the name Solirubrobacteraceae bacterium. Its description in RNAcentral is "tRNA-Thr". It matches the Rfam family "tRNA". Rfam says of the family: Transfer RNA (tRNA) molecules are approximately 80 nucleotides in length. The record is from RNAcentral. Lineage: Bacteria; Bacillati; Actinomycetota; Thermoleophilia; Solirubrobacterales; Solirubrobacteraceae. RNAcentral also lists the same sequence under 2 other names.
GCCCGCCUAGCUCAAUUGGCAGAGCACUUCAUUUGUAAUGAAGGGGUUUCCGGUUCGAGUCCGGAGGCGGGCU